RNAcentral lists this ribosomal RNA (838 nucleotides) under Streptomyces sp. IM-7414. RNAcentral's name for it is "bacterial SSU rRNA". It matches the Rfam family "Bacterial small subunit ribosomal RNA", at positions 38 to 889 of the family's 1533-position model. Lineage: Bacteria; Bacillati; Actinomycetota; Actinomycetes; Kitasatosporales; Streptomycetaceae. The record is from RNAcentral.
GGCGGCGUGCUUAACACAUGCAAGUCGAACGAUGAACCUCCUUCGGGAGGGGAUUAGUGGCGAACGGGUGAGUAACACGUGGGCAAUCUGCCCUUCACUCUGGGACAAGCCCUGGAAACGGGGUCUAAUACCGGAUACGAGCCUCCAAGGCAUCUUGGAGGUUGGAAAGCUCCGGCGGUGAAGGAUGAGCCCGCGGCCUAUCAGCUUGUUGGUGAGGUAAUGGCUCACCAAGGCGACGACGGGUAGCCGGCCUGAGAGGGCGACCGGCCACACUGGGACUGAGACACGGCCCAGACUCCUACGGGAGGCAGCAGUGGGGAAUAUUGCACAAUGGGCGAAAGCCUGAUGCAGCGACGCCGCGUGAGGGAUGACGGCCUUCGGGUUGUAAACCUCUUUCAGCAGGGAAGAAGCGAAAGUGACGGUACCUGCAGAAGAAGCGCCGGCUAACUACGUGCCAGCAGCCGCGGUAAUACGUAGGGCGCAAGCGUUGUCCGGAAUUAUUGGGCGUAAAGAGCUCGUAGGCGGCUUGUCACGUCGGUUGUGAAAGCCCGGGGCUUAACCCCGGGUCUGCAGUCGAUACGGGCAGGCUAGAGUUCGGUAGGGGAGAUCGGAAUUCCUGGUGUAGCGGUGAAAUGCGCAGAUAUCAGGAGGAACACCGGUGGCGAAGGCGGAUCUCUGGGCCGAUACUGACGCUGAGGAGCGAAAGCGUGGGGAGCGAACAGGAUUAGAUACCCUGGUAGUCCACGCCGUAAACGGUGGGCACUAGGUGUGGGCAACAUUCCACGUUGUCCGUGCCGCAGCUAACGCAUUAAGUGCCCCGCCUGGGGAGUACGGCCGC